Molecule: ribosomal RNA, 486 nt
Filed under: uncultured bacterium
Lineage: Bacteria
Description: partial 16S ribosomal RNA
Rfam family: Bacterial small subunit ribosomal RNA
Source: RNAcentral
GACGAACGCUGGCGGUGUGCUUAACACAUGCAAGUCGAACGGUAAGGCCCUUUCGGGGGUACACGGAUGUCGAACGGGGGCGUAACACGAGAGUAACCUGCCCUCAUCUCUGGGAUAACAGUCGGAAACGGUAGCUAAUACUGGAAAUGAGCUUGCUUGUCAUCUUGUGGGUUGGAAAGAUUUUUUCUGGUUGGGGAUGGACUCGCGGUGGAUCAGCUAGUUGGUGAGGUAAUGGCUCACUAAGGCAACGACGCGUAGCCGACCUGAGAGGGUGAUCGGCCACACUAGAACGGAGACACGGACCAGACUCCUGCGGGAGGCAGCAGUAGGGAAUCUUCCGCAAUGGGCGAAUGCCUGACGGUGCAACGCCGCGUGAGUGAUGAAGGUCUUCGGAGCGUAAAACUCUGUUAGUAGGUAAGAACAUAUGUGUAAGUAACUGUGCACAUCUUGACGGUACCUAAUCAGAAAGCCACGGCUAACUACGUG